This is a non-coding RNA of Peromyscus maniculatus bairdii (prairie deer mouse), 2365 nucleotides long. The record is from RefSeq and is a predicted model, not a curated record. Lineage: Eukaryota; Metazoa; Chordata; Mammalia; Rodentia; Cricetidae.
AGUGACCUAUAUUUUGGUGGCACACUGAAGGAGUCGGGUUUGUACUGACAGCCUGAAAAGCUAAACUGUGUGUUUUUUGUUUUGUUAUUUCGUCAAAAGCAAAAAUCAGGAUUGGGUGAAGGAAUCCACAUAAUGAUGUAUUUUCCAUAGCUGCUGCUCGGAGAUGACCCUCUGGAAUGGAAACAGACUGCUGCGGAACGCGGGCUCCAGCAGGCCGCACACAGAACCGAUCUCCUGGAAGAGAAUUAACUAGAAUCUAGCGUGGAGAUUUUUCACAGUCCUUUGUGCUAAGAGGCUUCCGGGCUUAGAGAAGGAGGACGUCCUCAGACUGCUGCAGAAGAUCUAAACGGCUGGUCUGCGCCUGCCCUGCUCCGUCUGCCCUGCUCCCGGCGCCCGGCGGGACCGAGACCUCACCCGCGGCAUAAUUGCGUGUGUCCAGCGCGCUCCCCGGGCUGUCCCGUGGCGAGCUGGAGUUCGUUGUUCCUCGGAUCAGGCCAAGAAAAAGUUCGCCCUCUCUUCUUCCCAAGUUAAGUGUUUUAGCUACAAGUCACAAAACACUUUUCUUAAAAAAAAAAUGAGAACAGUUUUGAACGAAACACAGUAAUAUAUAUAUAUAUAUAUAUGCAUAUAUAUUAUCUUGCCUGCCGGUAGAUGGGAAAAUAAAUCGGCCGUGCCUCGAUGGUGCCUUCCUAUUGGACUGAAAUUCGUAGGAGCCACCGCUCAUCAAAUGAAAAUUGGAAGCGGAAGGCCCACUUAGGGGGUCUACCAACAGCCUUGAUCCCCUGGCUCCAUUCACGGAAUGAAUGGAGUAGGAAAGAGAACCAGAGAGAACUCCAAAGACGUCUGGUCCGGGGAUGUGCGGCUCGUACUAAGUGUGUCCUGCUACAACCCAGGGUGUGCGGGAAGCGGUCUGGAUCCCGUCGCGCCCGACCCCUACAGCUUCCACCUGGAGAAGGCCUGCUUAAUUGGGCAGCCAGCAGCUGCUAAAUGUGCGGUCUACUAAUGACCCACCUCCUCGGCGACUCCUAUCCAAGGCAUAAAACUGAUAUUUUCACACCCGGAUCGCACGGCAGGAGCCGUUUAUAAACAUCCUGCAUCCGAGGGAUGGAAAAAAAAAAAAAAAAAAAAGGCUGCAUUGACAGGGGUCUCUGGAGCUCGGUAUUUAAAAGCGAUAGAUCCGAAUUAGAAAAUUAUUACUCUAAGUAGAGAAAGUACCCACCAACUUAACUAUUGAACUGCACGUCUGAGCUCUUGGCACUAACUACGGGUCUGGAGGAACUUAUCCUGGAUCUUGCGCGGAAGGCAGGCCAUCCACUGGCUCUCGGCUUCUAAAGCUCUCCCCUGGGGGCUGCGGUCCUCCAGAGGGCUGGCGAGGGCUAGCCUGGGUCACGUCUACAAAGACACAACUAGGACCUGGGGAGAAAGCCUAGGCGAAGUAGCCACAGCGGCCUGAGCUUGUUGGUGCUUUGCUUUCUCCAACCCCAGAACCGCGCCAGGGCGCAGUCCGCGCAAGGACUGUCCGCUGAGGCAGGGGAAUGUGUGACCUUGGCUCCCGAGAAGGAACUGACAAUGUCCCUAAAGUGAAUGCUCAGCUAUGAUCACCGGCAAACUGCAUGUGCGACACGUGGCUGUUGACUGUGUCUUUGGAUUGUUGCCCACCUCGUUUAUCGUGCAUAGGAGUCUGGAAAGUGUUUGAAGAAGGAAGAAUGUCCAGAGGUACUGCUCAAAGCGUGCGUCUGGGAACCUGUGUCCCCAUUCAGUGGCACAGAGCAUGAAACCUGCUCACCUUUGGGACUCACUGAGCCCAGACUCUUUUAGACUUCGUCACCCACAGCGCCAGGGAACAGCACAGGCGCGACUAUUCUCGAAAGUGAAGGUCACCAAGUUGACGUCUGCCGGGGUCUGAGAUCUACUGCUAGCUGAGGCUGAGCCUGGGGAGUGGGGGAGGGGGACUUUCUUGAUAGACUGCACUAGGGACACUCGGGACACCCUGGUGUGCAGACCAGUGCUCCUCCCCUUGGCCCCGAGCGACACCUCCACGUCUCAAGGAAGACAAACUCUGGAGAUACACGGAGGGAGAGCUAGGUUCUGCUUAACCAGAGCCUGCACAUGUGCUAUAGUUCUUGGUAGAGCAUCAGGAAGCCCGGCCCACUUACCGGACAGAGAAAUGGAGCGAGAAAAUAAUUCCGGGCCACGAGGAACCCGAAAUUAGGGGAGGGGCGGCCUGGAAAACUCCUGGGUUAAACGUUAGCACGCAAUUCCAUUAACACAUUGUGACAUUCACAAGCCCACAAUCUCGCUUUAAGCACGCCUGUGGUUUGGAUCGCGGUGUUCUGUGUCUUUUCUUGUGACCAAUAAAGCAGGA